GACGAACGCUGGCGGCGUGCCUAAUACAUGCAAGUCGAACGCUGAAGAGAGGAGCUUGCUCUUCUUGGAUGAGUUGCGAACGGGUGAGUAACGCGUAGGUAACCUGCCUUGUAGCGGGGGAUAACUAUUGGAAACGAUAGCUAAUACCGCAUAACAAUGGAUGACCCAUGUCAUUUAUUUGAAAGGGGCAAAUGCUCCACUACAAGAUGGACCUGCGUUGUAUUAGCUAGUAGGUGAGGUAACGGCUCACCUAGGCGACGAUACAUAGCCGACCUGAGAGGGUGAUCGGCCACACUGGGACUGAGACACGGCCCAGACUCCUACGGGAGGCAGCAGUAGGGAAUCUUCGGCAAUGGGGGCAACCCUGACCGAGCAACGCCGCGUGAGUGAAGAAGGUUGUCGGAUCGUAAAGCUCUGUUGUAAGUCAAGAACGAGUGUGAGAGUGGAAAGUUCACACUGUGACGGUAGCUUACCAGAAAGGGACGGCUAACUACGUG
Molecule: ribosomal RNA, 497 nt
Filed under: uncultured bacterium
Lineage: Bacteria
Description: partial 16S ribosomal RNA
Rfam family: Bacterial small subunit ribosomal RNA
Source: RNAcentral